CCGUCGCGUGAUCUUGUUCUUCCAGAGUCUUUCAUCUAGGACCAUUAACAUCUUUGGCGCAUCUUUCUUUUCCCUGAGACUCAAAGAGAGGGGAUUGAGGGAGAAAGAUGGAACCACCAUCGACCCAAGAGAUGGGCUCAAGAAACAAUUUCUCGGCAGGCGAAGAUGAGCAAGACAAGAUUGUCAACGAAUGUUGUUCGUGCUUCUACGACUGCUUGGAGAGCCUCUUCGAUUUCUUGUGCUGCUCCUAUCUCUGUUAGCUCUAUAGUCUUAAUGUAGCUCUGUCUUCUUCUUUUUUUUUUUUCUUCCUGAUUUCUCUGCAAAUCGGAACUCAAGUACUGAUUUUCUUAUCUUCUAACUGAUGCUAUUUAGUACUCAACCGGUCAUUAUGUUGA
Long non-coding RNA from Nelumbo nucifera (sacred lotus), 395 nucleotides. RefSeq lists it as uncharacterized. NCBI's taxonomy places the organism in Eukaryota, Viridiplantae, Streptophyta, Magnoliopsida, Proteales, Nelumbonaceae. The record is from RefSeq and is a predicted model, not a curated record.